This 347-nucleotide transfer-messenger RNA is filed under the name Eubacteriales bacterium. It matches the Rfam family "transfer-messenger RNA". Rfam says of the family: Bacterial tmRNA, also known as 10Sa RNA or SsrA, is named for its dual tRNA and mRNA-like properties. Its role is to liberate the mRNA from a stalled ribosome. To accomplish this part of the tmRNA is used as a reading frame that ends in a translation stop signal. Lineage: Bacteria; Bacillati; Bacillota; Clostridia; Eubacteriales. The record is from RNAcentral.
GGGCUUGUACUGGUUUCGACGGGGAUUUUGAACGUGGGGCAGCCAUCCGUGGACUCCGGAACCACGUUAAAAGCUGGAAUUAAAUAUAAACGCUGAAGAAAAUUUAGCAUACGCUGCCUAGUUGCAGCAGUCGAACUUAGCUAACCCGCGCGCUAAGACCUCGGCUCCGAAUUAGCGGGACCCUCGUGCUACAAAGCUUUGCGUAGUAUGAAGUAAUAUGAAGCUACUAAAGUCUGGAGUUUGUCUUUAGACGCCAGAUGGAGGGAAUGUCAAAAUAGAGACUGUGAUGGGAGAUACCGUGCGGAAUAGGUUUUCGGACAGGGGUUCGAUUCCCCUCAGGUCCAUAG